Molecule: ribosomal RNA, 498 nt
Filed under: uncultured bacterium
Lineage: Bacteria
Description: partial 16S ribosomal RNA
Rfam family: Bacterial small subunit ribosomal RNA
Source: RNAcentral
AUUGAACGCUGGCGGCAGGCCUAACACAUGCAAGUCGAGCGGUUGAGGUAGCUUGCUACCGAUGCAGCGGCGAACGGGUGAGUAAUACAUGGGAAUCUGCCUGGAAGUGGGGGACAACGUCUCGAAAGGGACGCUAAUACCGCAUACGCCCUACGGGGGAAAGGGGGGGAUCUUCGGACCUCUCGCUAUCAGAUGAGCCCAUGUCAGAUUAGCUAGUUGGUAGGGUAAAGGCCUACCAAGGCGACGAUCUGUAACUGGUCUGAGAGGAUGAUCAGUCACACUGGAACUGAGACACGGUCCAGACUCCUACGGGAGGCAGCAGUGGGGAAUAUUGGACAAUGGGCGCAAGCCUGAUCCAGCCAUGCCGCGUGUGUGAAGAAGGCCUUAGGGUUGUAAAGCACUUUCAGUGGGGAGAAAGGUUAUUCACCUAACACGUGAGUAAAUUGAUGUUACCCACAGAAGAAGCACCGGCUAACUCCGUGCCAGCCGCCGCUGUAA